Molecule: ribosomal RNA, 253 nt
Filed under: uncultured bacterium
Lineage: Bacteria
Description: partial 16S ribosomal RNA
Rfam family: Bacterial small subunit ribosomal RNA
Source: RNAcentral
AACGUAGGAGGCAAGCGUUAUCCGGAUUUACUGGGCGUAAAGGGCGUGCAGGUGGUUUGCUAAGUGGUGCGUGAAAGCGCUCGGCUCAACCGGGCGAGGCCGUGCCAAACUGGCAGACUAGAAACAGGCAGAGGAAAGUGGAAUUCGGGGUGUAGUGGUGAAAUGCGCAGAUAUCGGGAGGAACACCAGUGGCGAAGGCGGCACUCUGGGCCAGUACUGACACUGAGGAGCGAAAGCGUGGGGAGCGAACAGG